RNAcentral lists this ribosomal RNA (468 nucleotides) under uncultured bacterium. RNAcentral's name for it is "partial 16S ribosomal RNA". It matches the Rfam family "Bacterial small subunit ribosomal RNA", at positions 28 to 507 of the family's 1533-position model. The record is from RNAcentral.
GACGAACGCUGGCGGCGUGCUUAACACAUGCAAGUCGAACGGAAAGGCCCUGCUUUUGUGGGGUGCUCGAGUGGCGAACGGGUGAGUAACACGUGAGUAACCUGCCCUUGACUUUGGGAUAACUUCAGGAAACUGGGGCUAAUACCGGAUAGGAGCUCCUGCUGCAUGGUGGGGGUUGGAAAGUUUCGGCGGUUGGGGAUGGACUCGCGGCUUAUCAGCUUGUUGGUGGGGUAGUGGCUUACCAAGGCUUUGACGGGUAGCCGGCCUGAGAGGGUGACCGGCAAAAUUGGGACUGAGAUACGGCCCAGACUCCUACGGGAGGCAGCAGUGGGGAAUAUUGCACAAUGGGCGGAAGCCUGAUGCAGCAACGCCGCGUGCGGGAUGACGGCCUUUGGGUUGUAAACCGCUUUAGCCUGUGACGAAGCGUGAGUGACGGUAAUGGGUAAAGAAGCACCGGCUAACUACGUG